GAAUCCCGUCCACCGAAUGCCUAAGGUUUCCUGAGGAAGGCUCGUCCGCUCAGGGUUAGUCAGGACCUAAGCCGAGGCCGACAGGCGUAGGCGAUGGACAACAGGUUGAUAUUCCUGUACCACCUCUUUAUCGUUUGAGCAAUGGAGGGACGCAGAAGGAUAGAAGAAGCGUGCGAUUGGUUGUGCACGUCCAAGCAGUUAGGCUGAUAAGUAGGCAAAUCCGCUUAUCGUAAAGGCUGAGCUGUGAUGGGGAAGCUCCUUAUGGAGCGAAGUCUUUGAUUCCCCGCUGCCAAGAAAAGCUUCUAGCGAGAUAAAAGGUGCCUGUACCGCAAACCGACACAGGUAGGCGAGGAGAGAAUCCUAAGGUGUGCGAGAGAACUCUGGUUAAGGAACUCGGCAAAAUGACCCCGUAACUUCGGGAGAAGGGGUGCUUUCUUAACGGAAAGCCGCAGUGAAUAGGCCCAAGCGACUGUUUAGCAAAAACACAGGUCUCUGCGAAGCCGUAAGGCGAAGUAUAGGGGCUGACACCUGCCCGGUGCUGGAAGGUUAAGGAGAGGGGUUAGCGUAAGCGAAGCUCUGAACUGAAGCCCCAGUAAACGGCGGCCGUAACUAUAACGGUCCUAAGGUAGCGAAAUUCCUUGUCGGGUAAGUUCCGACCCGCACGAAAGGUGUAACGAUUUGGGCACUGUCUCAACCAGAGACUCGGUGAAAUUAUAGUACCUGUGAAGAUGCAGGUUACCCGCGACAGGACGGAAAGACCCCGUGGAGCUUUACUGUAGCCUGAUAUUGAAUUUUGGUACAGUUUGUACAGGAUAGGCGGGAGCCAUUGAAACCGGAGCGCUAGCUUCGGUGGAGGCGCUGGUGGGAUACCGCCCUGACUGUAUUGAAAUUCUAACCUACGGGUCUUAUCGACCCGGGAGACAGUGUCAGGUGGGCAGUUUGACUGGGGCGGUCGCCUCCUAAAGUGUAACGGAGGCGCCCAAAGGUUCCCUCAGAAUGGUUGGAAAUCAUUCGUAGAGUGCAAAGGCAUAAGGGAGCUUGACUGCGAGACCUACAAGUCGAGCAGGGACGAAAGUCGGGCUUAGUGAUCCGGUGGUUCCGCAUGGAAGGGCCAUCGCUCAACGGAUAAAAGCUACCCCGGGGAUAACAGGCUUAUCUCCCCCAAGAGUCCACAUCGACGGGGAGGUUUGGCACCUCGAUGUCGGCUCAUCGCAUCCUGGGGCUGUAGUCGGUCCCAAGGGUUGGGCUGUUCGCCCAUUAAAGCGGUACGCGAGCUGGGUUCAGAACGUCGUGAGACAGUUCGGUCCCUAUCCGUCGUGGGCGCAGGAAAUUUGAGAGGAGCUGUCCUUAGUACGAGAGGACCGGGAUGGACGCACCGCUGGUGUACCAGUUGUUCUGCCAAGGGCAUAGCUGGGUAGCUAUGUGCGGAAGGGAUAAGUGCUGAAAGCAUCUAAGCAUGAAGCCCCCCUCAAGAUGAGAUUUCCCAUAGCGUAAGCUAGUAAGAUCCCUGAAAGAUGAUCAGGUUGAUAGGUUCGAGGUGGAAGC
RNAcentral lists this ribosomal RNA (1545 nucleotides) under Bacillus cereus BAG5X1-1. RNAcentral describes it as "bacterial LSU rRNA". It matches the Rfam family "Bacterial large subunit ribosomal RNA", at positions 1325 to 2874 of the family's 2925-position model. The record is from RNAcentral. Lineage: Bacteria; Bacillati; Bacillota; Bacilli; Caryophanales; Bacillaceae.